GCAUUGGUGGCUCAAUGGUAGAAUUCUCACCUCCCAUGCAAGAAACCUGGGUUCAGUUCCUGGCCAAUGUA
This 71-nucleotide transfer RNA is filed under the name Loxodonta africana (African savanna elephant). It matches the Rfam family "tRNA". Rfam says of the family: Transfer RNA (tRNA) molecules are approximately 80 nucleotides in length. Their secondary structure includes four short double-helical elements and three loops (D, anti-codon, and T loops). Further hydrogen bonds mediate the characteristic L-shaped molecular structure. tRNAs have two regions of fundamental functional importance: the anti-codon, which is responsible for specific mRNA codon recognition, and the 3' end, to which the tRNAs corresponding amino acid is attached (by aminoacyl-tRNA synthetases). tRNAs cope with the degeneracy of the genetic code in two manners: having more than one tRNA (with a specific anti-codon) for a particular amino acid; and 'wobble' base-pairing, i.e. permitting non-standard base-pairing at the 3rd anti-codon position. The record is from Rfam by way of RNAcentral. Lineage: Eukaryota; Metazoa; Chordata; Mammalia; Proboscidea; Elephantidae.